GGGCCCGCACAAGCGGUGGAGCAUGUGGCUUAAUUCGAGGCAACGCGAAGAACCUUACCUGGUCUUGAAAUAUAUCGGAUCGCCUGUGAAAGCAGGUUUCCCUUCGGGGCUGAUAUACAGGUGCUGCAUGGCUGUCGUCAGCUCGUGCCGUGAGGUGUUCGGUUAAGUCCGGCAACGAGCGCAACCCGUGUCGUCAGUUGCCAGCAGGUAAAGCUGGGGACUCUGGCGAGACUGCCUGUGUUAAGCAGGAGGAAGGCGCGGAUGACGUCAAGUCAGUAUGGCCCUUACGACCAGGGCUGCACACGUGCUACAAUGGGGGGUACAAUGGGAUGCGAUGUCGCGAGGCGGAGCAAAUCCACAAAACCUCUCUUAGUUCAGAUUGCAGUCUGCAACUCGACUGCAUGAAGUUGGAAUCGCUAGUAAAGGCGUAUCAGCUACGACGCCUUGAAUACGUUCCCGGGCCUU
This 465-nucleotide ribosomal RNA is filed under the name uncultured bacterium. Its description in RNAcentral is "bacterial SSU rRNA". It matches the Rfam family "Bacterial small subunit ribosomal RNA", at positions 917 to 1382 of the family's 1533-position model. The record is from RNAcentral.